Molecule: transfer RNA, 77 nt
Filed under: Rhodospirillaceae bacterium
Lineage: Bacteria; Pseudomonadati; Pseudomonadota; Alphaproteobacteria; Rhodospirillales; Rhodospirillaceae
Also listed under: 1 other name
Description: tRNA-Pro
Rfam family: tRNA
About the family: Transfer RNA (tRNA) molecules are approximately 80 nucleotides in length. Their secondary structure includes four short double-helical elements and three loops (D, anti-codon, and T loops).
Source: RNAcentral
CGGAGUGUAGCUCAGCCUGGUAGAGCACUGCCUUCGGGAGGCAGGGGCCGGAAGUUCGAAUCUUCUCACUCCGACCA